Molecule: long non-coding RNA, 1641 nt
Organism: Mustela lutreola (European mink)
Lineage: Eukaryota; Metazoa; Chordata; Mammalia; Carnivora; Mustelidae
Exons: 3
Source: RefSeq, a predicted model, not a curated record
AAGACAAUGAGUGGCAGAAGAUGACUAAUCGAAAAAGAAGAAAAACAGUAAUUAAAAUCCAAGAGUGAAGACACUGUAAUGAAAGCAUUGGAGAAAAUUACCUGCUUUGUAUGCUCUCCAUCAUCGAAGUCUUCUGGAAACUUAGGCGAAGUGGGCUGAAAGAAUACAAUAUUCAAAUCAGCACAUGCUUGGCAAGCUGCCACAGUGAAAACAUUUAUUUCCCAGAGCCUCCCACAACAUUCCCACCAGCGACCACCGGGAGGCGCUGUGUGAACGAGCGCGGCGCACAGGAUCUCACCUGGAUAUACAGAUAAUGCACAGCUUCAACAACAGCUGAUGGCUCACUUUCAUGGCAACUGUUCUUCCCAUUGCAGUCUUCAUUCUAAUCCAAGAGGAACACGGGAGAACUCAAAAAAUGGGAACAGGGGGGCACCUGGGUGGCUGAGUGGGUUAAGCCUCUGCCUUUGGCUCAGGUCAUGAUCCCAGGGUCCUGGAAUUGAGCCCUACAUCAGGCUCUCUGUUUGGCGGAGAGCCUGCCCCUCCUUCCUGCCUCUCUGACUACUUGUGAUCUCUCUCUCUCUCUGUCAAAUAAAUAAAUAAAUAAAAUCUUUAAAAAAAAAAAUGGUAACACGAUCAUCACCCUCCUCAGGCUCUUUGUGCCCACCCUCACCCGACAGGCCAACAUCCUAUCGCCUCAGAGAAGAGGACCAAGCAGGACGCAGCCUCUGUCCUUUAGACACCACCAGCACUUCAAAGGCAACUGUGCUAUUACCAGAAACUACUGUAGAGUUUACAGAAAUGAAGUCGUGGCACUCUACCCCCUCUCAUGGAAGUUUCCUCUGCAUUAACAACGGCCAGUCCUAGUUGUCAGUGCCACGCAGCGGCAAUCGGGGGCUCUGCUAGUCUGGGCAGAGGAGGAUGCAGGACUGCGUGGGGUCCAAGGCCUCAAACGGUGUUUUUCAAACUUUUCAGACCGUGACCCACAUGAAGAAAUAUAUUUUAUAUCAUACCCAAUUCACAGACUCAUGUGAGACAUGGUAUACACACAGGUUACUUUUCCUAGUGUGAUGCAUGGUCUCCACUCUUCCCUACAGCACUAAAAAUUAAAUAAAGCUGGCUGCAGGCCUGAAAAACUCUUUCAUUGCCGGUUCAGGAUCAUGACUCAGUGCUAAAACACUGUGCUAGACAGUAAUCCAGAUUAACUGGUCAUAGAGACCAACAUAACUCUAAUAGGCUCUUUAAUUACUUAAAUCGAUCCCUAUCUCCAACCACAUCAAGUUUCCCCAAAUCUUCUAGGAAAUGGUGUUCAUUCAAAAAAGCAAGACAAAACAAAACCCAGCAUGUCAAUUUACCCCUCCCCUCUAAAAACAGGUAUGUGUGGUUAUGUGGACAAUCUAAAAUAUAAGGCCCAUGAAUAAUAAAUUAAACUAUCGUGUUUUAAAAUUGAUAAUUUCUAUAUCGGCCUAUUAGAGUGAGGCUUUACUCUUCCACCCAGGGUUUUUAACAUCAAGCACUAGUUUUCUUACAUGGCCAUCCCUGAGAAAAAGGUGUAAUUUCUAUUUAUAUAUUUACCUGAUUCUGACUCUUACUGUUCUCAUCUUCAAAGAUGAUAUCGCUGUCAGAAUCUGAAGCAGGUCUUAA